RNAcentral lists this transfer RNA (94 nucleotides) under Klebsiella quasipneumoniae. Its description in RNAcentral is "tRNA-Asp(atc)". The record is from RNAcentral. Lineage: Bacteria; Pseudomonadati; Pseudomonadota; Gammaproteobacteria; Enterobacterales; Enterobacteriaceae.
ACUGGCCGUCGGUGCGGGCGUGGGCGGCGUCAUCGCCGCCGCAAAAUUGUCCCGGCACGCGCCAGCGCGCUGGUUCGGCGCCGCCUGGUCGGUG